CCAUGACAAUCACUUGACCACCGUUGCUAUUGGAUACUCCACUCUGAUUGGUCGGUUUCUCGCUAGAGGUGUGUUCAGUGGCAGUCUUGGCCAGCAUCCACAAGUGAUACGUGUCAGAGGACCAACACUGAACAAAGAGAGUGCAGUGGGGGUUAAGCGGGGAGGGUGUGCCGGGCUGGUCGCCAUGGGAACAAAGGAGUAGAGACCCGAACACCGUCCAUAGUGAGAGGCCUCCGUUGCUCCAGGCCACGCCCACCACCAUCCCAUCUCCCACACUCCACUCCACACACACCACACUCCCCAGCUGGAGUCCCGUCUCUGUCGUGGGCAAGAAGAAAUGUAUAAUUAUACAUGUACAUGUACCACAUAUGUGACUUUAUGUGUGACUUUAUAUGAG
Halichondria panicea is the source of this 397-nucleotide long non-coding RNA. RefSeq lists it as uncharacterized. Lineage: Eukaryota; Metazoa; Porifera; Demospongiae; Suberitida; Halichondriidae. The record is from RefSeq and is a predicted model, not a curated record. The transcript is spliced from 2 exons.